UGCCUACGGGGCGCAGCAGUGGGGGAUAUUGCACAAUGGGGGGAACCCUGAUGCAGCGACGCCGCGUGGGCGAGGGAGCGCCUCGGCGCGUAAAGCCCUUUCGGCGGGGGAGAACGAUGACGGUACCCGACGAAGAAGCACCGGCUAAAUACGUGCCAGCAGCCGCGGUAAUACGUAUGGUGCGGGCGUUGUCCGGAUUUACUGGGCGUGAAGGGGGCGCAGGCGGCGCGCCAAGCCCGAUGUGAAAGCCCGGGGCUCCACCCCGGGACUGCCUUGGGAACUUGCGUGCUGGGGGGCCGGGGGGG
RNAcentral lists this ribosomal RNA (305 nucleotides) under uncultured bacterium. Its description in RNAcentral is "partial 16S ribosomal RNA". It matches the Rfam family "Bacterial small subunit ribosomal RNA", at positions 335 to 657 of the family's 1533-position model. The record is from RNAcentral.